Molecule: ribosomal RNA, 440 nt
Filed under: Escherichia coli
Lineage: Bacteria; Pseudomonadati; Pseudomonadota; Gammaproteobacteria; Enterobacterales; Enterobacteriaceae
Description: bacterial SSU rRNA
Rfam family: Bacterial small subunit ribosomal RNA
Source: RNAcentral
CCUACGGGAGGCAGCAGUGGGGAAUAUUGCACAAUGGGGGAAACCCUGAUGCAGCAACGCCGCGUGAGUGAAGAAGUAUUUCGGUAUGUAAAGCUCUAUCAGCAGGGAAGAUAAUGACGGUACCUGACUAAGAAGCACCGGCUAAAUACGUGCCAGCAGCCGCGGUAAUACGUAUGGUGCAAGCGUUAUCCGGAUUUACUGGGUGUAAAGGGAGCGCAGGCGGUGCGGCAAGUCUGAUGUGAAAGCCCGGGGCUCAACCCCGGGACUGCAUUGGAAACUGUCAUACUUGAGUGCCGGAGGGGUAAGCGGAAUUCCUAGUGUAGCGGUGAAAUGCGUAGAUAUUAGGAGGAACACCAGUGGCGAAGGCGGCUUACUGGACGAUAACUGACGCUGAGGCUCGAAAGCGUGGGGAGCAAACAGGAUUAGAUACCCCUGUAGUC